This 978-nucleotide long non-coding RNA is filed under the name Brassica napus (rape). Its description in RNAcentral is "long non-coding RNA (BNAP_LNC001204)". The record is from RNAcentral. Lineage: Eukaryota; Viridiplantae; Streptophyta; Magnoliopsida; Brassicales; Brassicaceae.
GUCCCCGUCGAGGUAGUGAUCGUGCUCCGGUUAAACGGGACGGAGGUGGUCCCGUCGGGAACGACGCCGUAUUCGAGAGACGAAGUCGAGACCUGAAAGUGAAAAUCGAAAAUCAGUUAAAAAAGUUUCUGACUAUUUCGAGAAACUCCACGGAGGAUUUUUUUUUUUUUUUUUUUUUAACAUUUAGACCAAAAAAAAAAAAAACUCCACGGAGGAGAGGAGACUUACACUAUGGCUGAUUGAUUGAGUUGGGUAGGUGAAAGUCGAGAGCUUUGAUCUGCAGAAGUCUAUGUCGAAGCAGUGGUCGUUGUUAGUUACAGGAAGAGGCUCUGUUUUUGUCUGAACCGGUACGAGGCUGUCUGCUCCGAACGUGUUUGGGUACUCGAAGUCAAUGAGUCGAUCGAAGUCAGAGAACAUAAACUCAGAAGACUUCAGUUCAGUUACAGUUUCGAUUUUUGCCGGUUCGUUGAAGUCGUUAGGGAGCAGCCACGGGCACAAACCGAGCUCGUCGGCGUUUCCGAUCACCGGAACGGCGGUUAAGUCGACGGUGGUGGAAUCGCCGAGGACUCCAAACGUGGAAGGUGAGAUUUUCGCGACGGCUGAGUCGAAGAAAGACUCGACGGGGACUCGUUCAUGGCGGCUAGCGAGAGGAUUAGCCGAGUGGAUGUCGGAGUCGCAGGUGACGCAGAGUGAGGCGGCGUCGGCUUUGCAGGUGACGGCGGCGGGAGCUUGUUCGCAGACUUCACAGAGGUACACGCGCUCGUGACGCGUGAAGGAGUGGAUGCUUGUGAGUGACGGCGGCGGGAGCUUGUUCGCAGACUUCACAGAGGUACACGCGCUCGUGACGCGUGAAGGAGUGGAUGCUUGUGUCGCAAGUGAUGCAUAAGAAGGCUGAGUCGAAUCGGCAGUACACGGCGGCGGAAGCUGAUUUACAAGCGUCACAGGAACGCGCCGCCGCGCCCCAGCCGCCGGAGAGUG